RNAcentral lists this ribosomal RNA (263 nucleotides) under uncultured bacterium. Its description in RNAcentral is "partial 16S ribosomal RNA". It matches the Rfam family "Bacterial small subunit ribosomal RNA", at positions 524 to 787 of the family's 1533-position model. The record is from RNAcentral.
UACGUAGGGAGCGAGCGUUGUCCGGAAUUACUGGGUGUAAAGGGAGCGUAGGCGGGAGAUCAAGUUGAAUGUUAAAUCUAUUGGCUUAACUAAUAGCUGCGUUCAAAACUGAUUUUCUUGAGUGAAGUAGAGGCAGGCGGAAUUCCUAGUGUAGCGGUGAAAUGCGUAGAUAUUAGGAGGAACACCAGUGGCGAAGGCGGCCUGCUGGGCUUUUACUGACGCUGAGGCUCGAAAGCAUGGGUAGCAAACAGGAUUAGAUACCC